This 737-nucleotide long non-coding RNA is filed under the name Rattus norvegicus (Norway rat). RNAcentral's name for it is "long non-coding RNA NONRATT025660". Lineage: Eukaryota; Metazoa; Chordata; Mammalia; Rodentia; Muridae. The record is from RNAcentral.
UCUGCUUACAGAGGGUAUGGUAUGAUGAGCGUAUGUCAGAAUGACUGUACUUGAGAGACGGGCAGCAGAGCUUAUGGAUAGGAUUGCUGGACUAGAAUGUGUAAAGCUUUAGUUUGAACCACAGAACUGAAGAAAAAGUAUCCUUAGGCAAGUGCGAUACAUACUUGGAGCCCUAGCUAUGUAUUUAGAAGGCUGAAGCAGGAAAAUUAAUUGAGGCCAGAUGUUAGCAACCAGCCCAAGCAACAUAAUGAGACCCUUCCUCUUACAUUUGCUCUGUUGAAUGUGAUUGUGUAGGAACCGUGAAGAACAGAAUUUGGUGGCUUAUCCCCAUGAUGGAAAAAUCUAUUUCUGUACCUCACAAGACAUCCCUCCUGAAAACGAGCUGCUUUUCUAUUAUAGCCGGGAUUAUGCUCAACAGAUAGGUGUUCCUGAACACCCCGAUGUGCACCUCUGUAACUGUGGCAAGGAGUGCAGUUCCUAUUCAGAGUUCAAAGCUCACCUGACCAGCCAUAUCCACAAUCAUCUCCCUAGCCAGGGCCACAGCAGCAGCCAUGGGCCAAGCCACAGCAAGGAAAGGAAGUGGAAGUGCUCCAUGUGCCCCCAGGCCUUUAUUUCUCCUUCUAAACUCCACGUUCACUUUAUGGGUCAUAUGGGCAUGAAGCCCCACAAGUGUGAUUUUUGUAGCAAGGCUUUUAGUGAUCCAAGCAACCUACGGACACACCUCAAAAUACAUACAG